AUUUUAUUUUAAUUUGAAUAUUUUUUAUUGUUUUUAUUUAUAAAUUAUGUAAAUGAUUUUUUCUUUUUUUUUUUUUUUUUUUCUAGUCAAAAAUAUUCCAAUCUGUUUUAUUUCCAACUUAUGAUCAUGUCAAUAAUAACGACUUACGAUGUAUAUAUAUAUAUAUAUAUAUAUAUACAUACAUACAUACACAUAUAUAUAUAUAUAUUUAUAUAUACACCUGCUAUAUUUUUAAAAAUAUUUAUGCAAUUUAAAUGUUUUAAAUGUUUUACCUUGUAGUUAAAACAUCUACCAGCAGGGAAAAACAGGCUAUGCAGUUGACUCUAAACAGUCUUUAACCGUUAUUAAGUGCCUUUAGAUCACACCACCACGUUUACCAUGGUCACAGCUGACAAAAACAGAAUUUUCCCCCUUCUUUUAUAAUAUACUAACAUUAUAAAUUUCGAUCAUAUAUGGACUACUAACAUGCCUGGUUUUUAUUUCAGAAAUCUGGUCACUUUCAGAGCCGUGCCUCGCGUUCUCUAAGCGGACGAGCGUAAUUCUUUGUUCUCGCUGCUUUGUGCUGGACUCAAGCCAAGAGCUUAAUUUAACGAUAUGAGUUUCUACAUGUGUAAUGUGGAGGGUGCUGCACAGAUGCUUGGAGUCUCACAAUAUCCACCCCACACUGAGCAGCCACUCACACAUAAUGUUUUUGUCUGAACGUAAAGCUUCCAACAGUGAGUUAAAUGGAAUAUUUAUGUCUUGGGACUGGGAAAGAAAGUCCAAAUUAGACAGGAGCUCGACGAGUCAUUUGAUCUCUUCUAUGAUUAGCCGGUGACAAUGAUAUCAAUUGCACCCUUCAGCCCUCCUACCUGCGACCUUAAUAGGUGAAAUCUGCUGUUUUGACUGUCAUCUCACCAGUCAUCUCACCUCUACCCCUCCUCUUUCUCCACAUUCACAGAGGCCCUGGCGAUUUUCACCUCCACCCCGGCUCAUGCUAUCAAGCGUAGCAGGACUUCCUUUUUCUUGUGGAUGAACCACGGCUGCCGGUUACAGACGAGGCCUGCUCUUCAUUCGGGUGUGAUUUCAUACAGUGGGGCCUGUGUGUAAGCCGCAGGAGCCGGGCUUGUGGUCUCAUCAUUAGUCCGCGAGAGUUGUUUCCGUAGCAGAGGUGAGGCGAUCCGUCCACAGGUAUUACUGACUUUCCCCUUUGGCAGAACCCAGUUACUUCUUUACCAGAACGACACACCCACUCAUCUUCUCAGCAGCAGGAACUAGAAGAAAGGAAACAAAGAAAGAACAAAACAGACAUGCAACACUUGUUUGCAGCAAGGGUUUGUACUCUGCCAAAACACUGUAUACGCCCUCAGCUUAACGGACAGCGCUUUAUUUCCACCUCUACUAGUAGUCUCAUGCAUAUAACAGUGCCUGCUGAGUUCAGGGGAAGGCUCACAUGACACUGCCUACCCACUAUACACCCACAGACAGCCAGACAUUCCAGCUACAAUGCGAGCGUUUGGAUCUGAAGCCAUUUUGAAGUCGCCAUGCCCGUAAUCUAUAAAGGGAUACGAGAAUACGGCCGGGAGGAGGGAGGAUUCUGGGAUGAAGCGAAGCGUUUCCAUAUGGACAAGAAGGAGGAAUACCUGGAAAAAAGCCACUAAUCUUUGGCUGUGAAGUUGAGGAGUUUUUAACGCUAAUAAACGCGCCAUUGGCAAAGUGCUCGCCAUAAGGAGGGCCGGCUACAUCAGGCCUGUCUUUCCUCAAGAGGGACGUAGUGUUGUCACAUGUGGUCUUAGCUCCUUGGAACGCACUCAAAGACUCACUAUUAGGGUAUGAAACUCACUUCCAAACCCUCUGAGACACAAAACCCCCUCACAAAACUCUUGGGGAAGACUGAGCCUUCAAAGGCACGACGGCUCCUUUUACAGGUUGAAAAAACGAGAUAAGAACAUUCAACUGUCCAAUUCUGUAAUGCGCGUAAAGGUAAAGCGCCGCGCGUCGUCUCGCCUCCGACAUUUGGCAUCGCGCCUGAGUGUUUUAGAGUCAGGUUUGUGCUCCCGUCUCGCAUAAACAGAGCACUAGAUCUGGUCACACCGCCAGUCCUGCGAGUUUGAGAAAUGUCAACAUCAGACCCAUGGGUUGUUUCGCUCUCCACACUCGCUGGCCUUCCGUCUUUCCCCCUGCGUGUGGCCACAGGAUCAGACAGCUCGCGUCGACACAUCUCGACUCGGAGAGCCUCAAAAUGCCAUCUUGUAGCGACAUUAUCCGACAGUACGGGGCAAAAUGAGAAACGGGGAGGCAGAGGUAGACCUGCGUUGAUCUGGGAUAUGUCAGCGGCGCGGCACUGGAGAUCCACCUCCUACCCUUUUCCGUCACCGGAUUGGGCGCAGCGGAAGGGCUCAUCUGCUCCCGGGUAUCUGCGGCGCAUUAAGAGCGCAGGGGAAAGAAACUCGGAAAUGCUGCCGUGGAGACGAGGAUAAAAGUGUAAUAAUGUGCAUGACGAUAGGUCCUUUUCACACCGCUCAAACCGUAUUACUAGACCUGUCCUCAAAGGCGAGAAGGAAAAGGACAGUUGGAGAAAGAGUAAAUGACAGGGACCAAAAAUACUGGCAAAAGGAGAAACGGCGGGAAGGACAGAACCCGAAGGGGGGGCGAGAUAGAAGCGGAGCGAGAGAGAGCCAGAGUCUUAAAAAAAAACUGUAUAAGGUUUGUCAGAGGAACAAAGGAGAUAGGAUAUCCCUAAUCCCUGCAAUAUUAAUGUCUAAAAUGUCAUUAAUAAGCUCAGGAUUCUGAGCCUGAGACCACACUAGGAUGAAGGUACCUGCCAGGGCUUGUCUGACAGGGCCUUGGCUAAUGAAUGAAUAUAAAGCUACUCCAAUCAAUCACACAGGAUUUAUCUUCGCCCCGAGUAUAGGUGAGGUCUGGUAUGGGGUGACCACGACUGUCAAGCAUGCUGAAGCAGCAGCCAAGAAACUGUCGUGGCAUUACAAUGAGGCUUGUAUUAAUGGGCGCUUGUGCUUUUCUGCCAUGUGGGGGAGCAAGCGUGAAUGCGUGAGUGUGUGUGCCACGAUUUCGGGCCAUAUUUUAAUUUUAGUAAAUGAAAUGACAUCGCUGGGUCAUUAACUCCAGGUUUGGUCGCUUUACCCUGGGCAAAUGGAGGCUGACAAAUGUUUAGUUAGCUUCGCUUGUCCAAGUAAUGUCAUGUGGUGCCAACGUGAAAUCAGUCUUGAAGCUUUUCACGUAAACAGUUCGAGUGAUUUAUGUAAAUUGGUGGUUUUAUGCGGAAAUUAGAUUUACAGUAAAUAUAUAGGUAGACUGGGGCUAGAUGUCACAGUGGUUUUGCAUGUUAGUUUCAAACUCCAAGUUCGUGUUAAAUUAGGAUCAUUUUUGUCCUCCAAACUAAAAUUCCAAUGACAUAUAGUGUAACUUUUCAGUAAACAAAUGAAUGCUUUAGAAAAUCACAUUGGCAUACAUUUAUUUUUUUCUUCACAAAGGCUGCAUUCAUUUGAUCAAACAUGCAAUAAAAAGAGUAACACUGUGAAGUAUGAUUCCAUUUGGAUAUUUUAAAUGACAUAUGCAAAUAUUUAUUCUUAAUUUAUUCUUGUAAUGCCAUUACUCAAGUCUUCAGUGUUUCAUGAUCAUUCAUAAAUCAUACUAAUAUGCUGAUUUUUUGGAUUAUUAUAAAGUUAAAAAUAAUAUGAUUUAUUUGAAAUAGAACUCUUGUAACAUUAAAGGGAACCCUGGUAUUAAGACUUGUGUGGCUUAAUAUAACACUAAAAAGUAUCUUACUAAAAAUAUAUAGUAGAAAACCCAAAAAAUCCACAUCAUUUUAUACAUAUUUUGGUCUAUGGGGGGCGCCAUUAUUUUUAUGACAUCAAAUGGUUGCUCUCAGUGAGCUCCUGGUGCUAUCUGAUGCUAUUUUUACCUCAACACAACUUGUAAAAUAAAAUACAGAUAUUAUACCGCAUUGUGCCGCUUUUGGUUGUAAUUUUUAGUGGAAGGGCAACAAGAGACGCAAUGUAAGUCUUCGUUGCUUUCCUAGCAAUAAGAAGAGGAGAAAAGAUUAGGAAGAUGACUGUGGAUGAAUAAAACUUCCUAAAGACCUGCAUCUUUGUUCUCUCCACUUUAGCCCUGAUGCCGUUCUAGUAGACCACAGCUACUGAAAGAGCUUACAAACGGCAGAGACAAGAAACGCUAGAUGUCAUCCUGGCAGGAUGUAAACAUGCCAAUGCUUGUCGUGACGCCAAAGCCACUGAAGGAAUUUCUCAGUGUAGAUUUCACUCGAUAUCCAGGGAAAAAUCUAUGGUACACUUUUAAAAAUAAAGGCUCCAAAGUGGUGUUUUUGCAAUGAUGCCACAGAAGAACCAUUUUUGCUUUCCCAAAGAACCUUUCAGCAAACUGUUCUUGAAAGAACCAUUUUAAAGAACAUUUAAAAAAUCUAAAGAACCUUUUUCCACUAUAAAGAACCUUUUCUGCAUUUGAAAGGUUCCAUGGAUGUUCAAGGAUUUCUCGUCGUCUAAAUAAUGGUGCCCCCCAUAGUCCAAAAUAUGUACAAACCGAUGUGGAUUUUUUAAAUAACGUAAAUCUUUCAUGGGUUUUCUACUACAUAUUUCGGUAAGUGACAUAAUUUACAUUAUAUUCAUCCAUAAUCCAAGUCUUAAUACCCACAUUCCCUUUAAAUUAAUCUUCCAACUGUCCUUGAUAAGUAAGUGCGUCCAUUUGACUCCAAAUAAUAGUCUCAAAUGAACUCUAAAUUAUAUUUGUUGGCCAAAACAGUGCUAUUCUAUACGUUUACUGUUUUGUGAAAUCCUUUUAAUGCAACCAAAUUAGUUUGAUUCCCAGUGAAAUGCUUCUAUGGUCUUGGACUCACUAAAUCUGGCAGCUGCACCCAAAAUAGCAAUAUAUAGGCUAUAUGUCAUUCCUAAAAAGACUACUUCCCUUUCUUUAGGCUGUAAUACAUGUCUGUGACAACAGCACAGUCACUAAUUACUAGGCUAACAGCUAGUUUGGACAGUCUGUGAGAGCUCAGCAUGCAAAGUAGCUUUUGCUUGUCCAGCAGAAAGGUUACAACGUCCAUGUCACCGAGGUCCAACUAAUUACACGUAUAUUUUCACGUACCAAAGUCAUCGCUGGAAAUUUCUGCUCUCUGCAUCUCACUGUAAUCUCAGCAUGUGGUAUUGUCCUCUCAGAUGACAUUUGUUGCAAGCUGUAAUAUAAACGCUCAUUAGAGAGGGACGAAGAAACAAAGAAGUGCCCUUGUAUCUGGUUCAGCGGCAAGCUGUAUUUUGAUGCACUAACCCCAAUCAUGGGUUUGUGGCAAGUUGAGAUUAAAUGCACAGCGUUUAAUGCUCAAACAUAUGUUUUUUUAAAAACAUAAUUGCCGUGAAAUUAAUAAAAACAGGUUUAAUUAUAGUCUGUGGCUUUAAAAUGGCCCAUUAGCCCUGUCUAAAAUGGCACCUUGGCUGUUGCCAUCCAAGAAUUAAGCCUAAAUUGAGGUCAAUUUGAGUCUGUUAGUCAUUCCACUUGAAGGUGCAUCAUAACAUUCACACCACAGGUGUGAUCUGCAGAAUUAGAGUUCCCUGCACCAGCGUGUACACGGUGCCAAAUGACUUGUUCAAACAGACUACUUCACCUCAUCAAAGCACUGCCUUCAUAUCCACUGGGCAGGCAUGUCCAAAUAAGCUGUGAAAAUAUUUAUAGCCUCUCACUGACUAUCCUCUCAUUAGCGAGCACUUUUCUCCUCGCGCUGCCAGUUGCCAAAAAAGCGGAGAGUGAAAUUUAUUUUGAAUAUUCAAAAGGAGAUAAUCAGCUUGUGUGCCAGCAGUGUGCGGCUCUGUUAGGCAUGUGCGUGGCAUGGCGGCUAAGGGUGCGCGUCUCUCACGGCUUUUCAUCAAUGUUACCUGAGAUGUUCGUCUUUUAUCCGAAAGUGGGCCGUAUGGUUUGGCGAGACUAAUCAGGCGGAUGUGUCUGAGGUGAUGGCAUGUUUUUAAUACAUCCACAUAUGUCAUAUGUUGUACAGUGUGUUUGAUCUUUGAAUAUGCACAUAUGUCAUAUUUUGUUGUAAGGAAGCUUAUAAAUACAUGUUGCAUUCAGUAUAAAGCUAUAUUGAAUGUAACAUACAUACAUAUAUAUGUAGUGUCAGUGUCAUAUAUAUAUGUAUUUUUUUUUUUAAAGAAAUGUUUAUUAUUCAAUUGAUAGGAUAUCUGGCAGUACAGAUAUUUUUAUUGUUAUUUUAUUAUUAUUAUUAUUGUUUAUUAUUAAAAAACUAUUUCAAAUAAAUUCUUUAAAAUUUACACUUUCUAUUAAUCAAAGAAUUCUGAAAAAAUCUUCAUAAAAUUUUAAGCAGCAGCAGUUUUCAAUAUUGAUAUUAAUAAGUUAUAACUCAGUAUAUUAAAAUAAUCUGGCACUAAAAAUUUGAUUAAUGGCUACUGAAAAUUCAGCCUUGCUGUCAGGAUUAUGUUCUGUUUUGUCUUGUUUUUCCUAGUGUUUUUUCCCUUCUGUUUCUAGUGUAUUUGGUUUAGUCCGUGUCUCCCCCCUAGGUUUUGAUAGUUUGGUUUAGUCUUGCCCAUAAUUGUACUUCCCCUCGUUUGCUCGUUUGUAACCACUCCCCUGUUUCUGUGUAUUUAAGGUUGGUUGUUUCCCCAGGUCAUUGUCGGUGAUUAUUGUUUCACUGUGUUUUCGUUGUGGUUGCGUUUCCCUGCUGGUGUUCGUCUGUUUAUUAACGUUUUUGAUUGUUUAAAUAAACCUGAAUUGUUUGGAUCUUCGUUCUGCUACUGUUCGUUCCUGCGCACGACGACAACCCUGACACUUGCCUUAUCAAGAAUAAAUUAAAUAAAUUUUAUUUAAAUAAAUUUAAAUAAAAAUUUUAUUUAAAUAAAUUUUACUAUUUUUGAUUAAAUAAAUGCAACCUGUAUUCUGUAUUUCAAUUUUAAAAUUAU
This is a long non-coding RNA of Labeo rohita (rohu), 6917 nucleotides long. RefSeq lists it as uncharacterized. The transcript has 4 exons. The record is from RefSeq and is a predicted model, not a curated record. NCBI's taxonomy places the organism in Eukaryota, Metazoa, Chordata, Actinopteri, Cypriniformes, Cyprinidae.